This is a non-coding RNA of Caranx melampygus (bluefin trevally), 72 nucleotides long. NCBI's taxonomy places the organism in Eukaryota, Metazoa, Chordata, Actinopteri, Carangiformes, Carangidae. The record is from the annotation of a GenBank genome assembly.
GUGAAGGUGGUAUAGUGGUGAACAUAGCUGCUUUCCAAGCAGUUGUCCCGGGUUUGAUUCCCAGCCAUCGCA